AUGGGAACGCGAAGAACCUUACCUAGACUUGACAUCUUCUGCAUUAAUCGUAAUGGAUGAAAUCCCUUCGGGGACAGAAUGACAGGUGGUGCAUGGUUGUCGUCAGCUCGUGUCGUGAGAUGUUGGGUUAAGUCCCGCAACGAGCGCAACCCCUAUUAUUAGUUGCUAACAUUAAGUUGAGCACUCUAGUGAGACUGCCCGGGUUAACCGGGAGGAAGGUGGGGAUGACGUCAAAUCAUCAUGCCCCUUAUGUCUAGGGCAACACACGUGCUACAAUGGUGAGUACAGAUAGAUGCGAUACCGCAAGGUGGAGCCAAACUCUAAAACUCAUCCCAGUUCGGAUUGUAGGCUGCAACUCGCCUACAUGAAGUUGGAGUUGCUAGUAAUCGCGAAUCAGAAUGUCGCGGUGAAUACGUUCCCGGGUCUUGUACACACCG
RNAcentral lists this ribosomal RNA (437 nucleotides) under uncultured bacterium. RNAcentral describes it as "bacterial SSU rRNA". It matches the Rfam family "Bacterial small subunit ribosomal RNA", at positions 954 to 1392 of the family's 1533-position model. The record is from RNAcentral.